Molecule: RNA transcript, 1079 nt
Organism: Varroa destructor (honeybee mite)
Lineage: Eukaryota; Metazoa; Arthropoda; Arachnida; Mesostigmata; Varroidae
Gene name: immediate early response 3-interacting protein 1
Source: RefSeq, a predicted model, not a curated record
UCGACGAGUUCUGUCGCUUAGGGUAGAUUCAAACCAGCUGACAACUUUGAUCCUACUGCCAUCCUGCACGAAACUUGUGACAAAUAAUACAAUUAUAUGGAAACGUAAAAAGUGUGAAAAAGAAGAAGAAAAGGAAAGAGCUGAAAAUCCAGUUCUCUGGGUAACUCAGAGCUUAACGGAGAAAAAUGGGUUUCGGCAUCUACUCAUUACUGGAAGCAGCUCUGUUAGUGAUGAAUGCAAUUGCAAUUCUCCACGAGGAGCGGUUUCUCUGCAAGUAUGGCCUCGGCCGAGACGCUGCUAUACAAGGAUAUCAGCAGCCGGGUGCCAAAACACAAAUAGCAAAUAUAAUUUACUCGGUGAAGUUGGCAAAGAUUCCACUGAUAUUCCUCAACAUCAUCUGUAUCGGGGUUAAAUUAAUCUGGUGAGGCGAACAUCCCGGCGUUUGCAUGCAUGUCCACUGCGCAACUGUUGACCAUCUAAAUCAAUACGUAAAACGACGAUUUAUCUUAUUGAAAGAUGAUGUCUAUGAAACGAGCGAUUGUGUUAUGUAUAGAGAGCAAUUCAUGCCGGAUACUGCACACCGAACGAAACUAAUAUGUCGCGAUUAGUGCGUUAAAUGGGCGAAAUAGACUUCAAUGCUAGAUCCACAAUCUACAUCGUUAACUAUCGAAUGAUUCUCUACAGAUAACAAGUUAUAAACAUUUUGCAUAUUGAAUCGAGAAAAAUAUCAACACAUUGCCUAUCGUAAGAAACGCUCAGUUGAGAAUAACGAUAUAAGAAUCAUUGCUACGACAUAUAUCAACAUCGUUAUCCGGAGACAAUUCGAACAGAUUCCUGUACAAUGGAAAUUCAAGGUCUCCGGAAACCGAGGCCGAAAGGAUCUGACGAUGAUGCUAAGCAUGUGCAUAGAAUACAAGUUGACGAUUACUAUGGUUCCAGGUAAUGCGCAAUAAAAAAUAAGAAACGUCUACAAUACGUUCUAUCAUACGAGACCAAUUUAGUAAAAUCGAAUAUCAUAUAUUUUUAGAUAUAUGCGAAUUGAGUUUUUUUUUUUAAAUAAAUAAAUAAAGCACAAAAAA